UGUUCACUAUCCAAAAACUUGUUAUUAUGUUCUUCUUUUUUCACUUGAAAAAGAAGGUGUGGAUCAACCCCGCAGUUUCCUGUCCUUGUAGACUUGUAUUCUAGACGCUUAUUAUUGUCGAUUGAUGUGUUAAGAGCUCGAGGGCAUUUUAUACAAUGAAAGGAGUUGGAACGUGCACAUGGUGGAUAUGGGUAGAGUCAGCUGGAGCUGGCUAUCUAUUUAUAUCUGGAAAAGUAUUCUCCCUGUCUAGCUUGAUGUUCUUUGGAUUUGUUAGGCAUUGGUGUGACUGUUUGUAAGUAGUCUUCAAUACCUGGAUAGCUGAGGUUGAUAUCACCCUACAGGAUAAGAUUUUGAGUGGCUUUGCAGUCAUAGUCUUGUUAGUGGUGUUGUUCAUAGCUCUAUCAGCUCUAUGGCCUUGUUACUUUUAGGUACCUGUAG
Long non-coding RNA from Populus trichocarpa (black cottonwood), 438 nucleotides. RefSeq lists it as uncharacterized. The record is from RefSeq and is a predicted model, not a curated record. The transcript has 2 exons. NCBI's taxonomy places the organism in Eukaryota, Viridiplantae, Streptophyta, Magnoliopsida, Malpighiales, Salicaceae.